Molecule: small RNA, 121 nt
Filed under: Marmota monax (woodchuck)
Lineage: Eukaryota; Metazoa; Chordata; Mammalia; Rodentia; Sciuridae
Source: RNAcentral
GCUGGGCAUGGUGGUACAUGCCUGUAAUCCCAGCAGCUAGGGAGGCUGAGACAGGAGGGUCAUGAGUUCAAAGCCUCAGCAAUGGAGAGGCACUAAGCAACUCAGAAACACCCUGUCUCUA